RNAcentral lists this ribosomal RNA (472 nucleotides) under Daginesticus mamajevae. RNAcentral describes it as "Carpathonesticus mamajevae partial large subunit ribosomal RNA". It matches the Rfam family "Bacterial large subunit ribosomal RNA", at positions 1872 to 2622 of the family's 2925-position model. The record is from RNAcentral. Lineage: Eukaryota; Metazoa; Arthropoda; Arachnida; Araneae; Nesticidae.
CAAAAACAUUUUUUAAUGAUUAUUAUAUUAAAUAAAGCUGCUCCAUGAAAUAAAUAGCCGCAGAAAAUUUACUGUGCUAAGGUAGCAUAAUCACUUGCCUCUUAACUGGAGACUAGAAUGAACGACUAAACAAUUAAUUCAUUUUUUUAAAUACUUAAUAAUAAUCUAUACUGAAUAUUAAAAUAUAUUCAUUCAUUUAAAAGACGACAAGACCCUAUCGAACUUAACUGCAGUUUAGCUGGGGAAGCUUUUUAAUAAAUAUUUUAGAUAAAUAAUUAAUAUAAAAACCCAAUAAAAUUGAACCCUAAUCAAGUUACCGUAGGGAUAACAGCGUAAUUAUUCUUUAAAGCUCAUAUUAAAAGAAAAGAUUACGACCUCGAUGUUGAAUUAAUUUUACUUACUAGCGCAAGCGCCUAAAAAGUAAGUCUGUUCGACUUUUAAAAAAUUACAUGAUCUGAGUUAAAACCGGAGA